Molecule: ribosomal RNA, 644 nt
Filed under: Paraburkholderia diazotrophica
Lineage: Bacteria; Pseudomonadati; Pseudomonadota; Betaproteobacteria; Burkholderiales; Burkholderiaceae
Description: bacterial SSU rRNA
Rfam family: Bacterial small subunit ribosomal RNA
Source: RNAcentral
GGAGGCAGCAGUGGGGAAUUUUGGACAAUGGGGGCAACCCUGAUCCAGCAAUGCCGCGUGUGUGAAGAAGGCCUUCGGGUUGUAAAGCACUUUUGUCCGGAAAGAAAGCUUCGGAGCUAAUACCUCUGGGGGAUGACGGUACCGGAAGAAUAAGCACCGGCUAACUACGUGCCAGCAGCCGCGGUAAUACGUAGGGUGCGAGCGUUAAUCGGAAUUACUGGGCGUAAAGCGUGCGCAGGCGGUGCUGUAAGACCGAUGUGAAAUCCCCGGGCUUAACCUGGGAACUGCAUUGGUGACUGCAGCGCUGGAGUAUGGCAGAGGGGGGUGGAAUUCCACGUGUAGCAGUGAAAUGCGUAGAGAUGUGGAGGAACACCGAUGGCGAAGGCAGCCCCCUGGGCCAAUACUGACGCUCAUGCACGAAAGCGUGGGGAGCAAACAGGAUUAGAUACCCUGGUAGUCCACGCCCUAAACGAUGUCAACUGGUUGUCGGGCCUUCAUUGGCUUGGUAACGUAGCUAACGCGUGAAGUUGACCGCCUGGGGAGUACGGUCGCAAGAUUAAAACUCAAAGGAAUUGACGGGGACCCGCACAAGCGGUGGAUGAUGUGGAUUAAUUCGAUGCAACGCGAAAAACCUUACCUACCCU